CGAGUUGGCCGGGCGACCGCGGCACAGGGAACCAGCACAUCAGUGCACAGGCCCUGAGUCGAGGAAAGUCCGGACUCCACAGAGCAGGGCGGUUGUUAACGGCAACCCGAGGUGACUCGCGGGACAGUGCCACAGAAAACAGACCGCCGACGCCACAUCCUCCGGGGUGAGGCGUCGGUCAGGGUGAAACGGUGCGGUAAGAGCGCACCAGCACCCCGGGUGACCGGGGUGGCUAGGUAAACCCCGCCCGGAGCAAGGUUGAAGGCCGCACCGGAUCCUCCGGG
This 284-nucleotide RNase P RNA is filed under the name Rhodococcus sp. LB1. RNAcentral's name for it is "partial RNase P RNA component class A". It matches the Rfam family "Bacterial RNase P class A", at positions 1 to 262 of the family's 367-position model. Rfam says of the family: Ribonuclease P (RNase P) is a ubiquitous endoribonuclease, found in archaea, bacteria and eukarya as well as chloroplasts and mitochondria. Its best characterised activity is the generation of mature 5'-ends of tRNAs by cleaving the 5'-leader elements of precursor-tRNAs. The record is from RNAcentral. Lineage: Bacteria; Bacillati; Actinomycetota; Actinomycetes; Mycobacteriales; Nocardiaceae.